RNAcentral lists this ribosomal RNA (450 nucleotides) under uncultured Glomeromycotina. RNAcentral's name for it is "SSU rRNA". It matches the Rfam family "Eukaryotic small subunit ribosomal RNA", at positions 569 to 1025 of the family's 1831-position model. The record is from RNAcentral. Lineage: Eukaryota; Fungi; Glomeromycota.
AGCAGCCGCGGUAAUUCCAGCUCCAAUAGCGUAUAUUAAAGUUGUUGCAGUUAAAAAGCUCGUAGUUGAAUUUCGGAAUCAAUAUGUUGGUCGUGCCUUGGUACGUACUAAUUUAUUGGUUUCUUCCUUCUGACGAACCAUGAUGUCAUUAAUUUGGUGUCUUGGGGAAUCAGGACUGUUACUUUGAAAAAAUUAGAGUGUUUAAAGCAGGCUCACGCUUGAAUACAUUAGCAUGGAAUAAUGAAAUAGGACGUUUGAUUCUAUUUUGUUGGUUUCUAGGAUCGACGUAAUGAUUAAUAGGGAUAGUUGGGGGCAUUAGUAUUCAAUUGUCAGAGGUGAAAUUCUUGGAUUUAUUGAAGACUAACUACUGCGAAAGCAUUUGCCAAGGAUGUUUUCAUUAAUCAAGAACGAAAGUUAGGGGAUCGAAGACGAUCAGAUACCGUCGUAGUC